GACGGAGGAUGCAAGUGUUAUCCGGAAUCACUGGGCGUAAAGCGUCUGUAGGUGGUUUAAAAAGUCCACUGUUAAAAAUUGAAGCUUAACUUCAAAGAUGCCGUGGAAACUUUUAAACUUGAGUAUGAUAGGGGUAGAGGGAAUUUCCAGUGGAGCGGUGAAAUGCGUAGAUAUUGGAAAGACCACCGAUGGCGAAGGCACUCUACUGGGCCAUGACUGACACUGAGAGACGAAAGCUAGGGGAGCAAAUGGG
Molecule: ribosomal RNA, 253 nt
Filed under: uncultured bacterium
Lineage: Bacteria
Description: partial 16S ribosomal RNA
Rfam family: Bacterial small subunit ribosomal RNA
Source: RNAcentral